Molecule: non-coding RNA, 192 nt
Organism: Oryza glumipatula
Lineage: Eukaryota; Viridiplantae; Streptophyta; Magnoliopsida; Poales; Poaceae
Source: Rfam
UAUAAGUACAGUCGUAGAUUUCCGUGUCCAAUAUUUGACCGUCCUUAUUUUAAAAAAAUAUGAUUAGUAUUUUUAUUGCUAUAAGAUGAUAAAACAUGAAGAAUACUUUAUUUGUGACUAUUUGUUUUAAUUUUUUUUUAAAUAUGACAGACGGUUAAAUGUUGGACACGAAAACUCACAACUGCACUUAUA